Molecule: small nuclear RNA, 160 nt
Filed under: Solanum tuberosum (potato)
Lineage: Eukaryota; Viridiplantae; Streptophyta; Magnoliopsida; Solanales; Solanaceae
Description: snRNA U1
Rfam family: U1 spliceosomal RNA
About the family: U1 is a small nuclear RNA (snRNA) component of the spliceosome (involved in pre-mRNA splicing). Its 5' end forms complementary base pairs with the 5' splice junction, thus defining the 5' donor site of an intron.
Source: Rfam by way of RNAcentral
AUACUUACCAGGAUGGGGUCAAUGGGCGAUCAAUAAGACCCAUGGCCUAGGCUGUUGACUUCCAUUGCACUUUGGAAGGAUCUCCGCCUAAGGUCGGCCCAAGUGAUUGAGCCUACGUCAUAAUUGGUGAUAGUGGGGGUCUGCCGCGCGGCUCCUUCCC